Molecule: ribosomal RNA, 463 nt
Filed under: uncultured bacterium
Lineage: Bacteria
Description: partial 16S ribosomal RNA
Rfam family: Bacterial small subunit ribosomal RNA
Source: RNAcentral
GAACGCUGGCGGCGCGCCUAACACAUGCAAGUCGACCGAGCGAGAGAGAGCUUGCUUUCUUGAGCGAGUGGCGAACGGGUGAGUAACGCGUGAGGAACCUGCCUCAAAGAGGGGGACAACAGUUGGAAACGACUGCUAAUACCGCAUAAGCCCACGGUGCCGCAUGGCACAGAGGGAAAAGGAGCAAUCCGCUUUGAGAUGGCCUCGCGUCCGAUUAGCUAGUUGGUGAGGUAACGGCCCACCAAGGCGACGAUCGGUAGCCGGACUGAGAGGUUGAACGGCCACAUUGGGACUGAGACACGGCCCAGACUCCUACGGGAGGCAGCAGUGGGGAAUAUUGCACAAUGGGGGAAACCCUGAUGCAGCGACGCCGCGUGGAGGAAGAAGGUCUUCGGAUUGUAAACUCCUGUUGUUGGGGAAGAUAAUGACGGUACCCAACAAGGAAGUGACGGCUAACUACGUG